AUGGUCUUUGAAUUGCUGCUUUCUCUGGAGAGGACGUCUGAGGCUGCUGCCUGGAGAGAGGAAGGAGCGGCGGCUCCUCGGCGCGUGAUGUUCGUCUGGAUGUUGUUAAACGUUUGGAAGAAGGCCUCGUUCACCAGCGAUCGCGUUCCUGUCGGGCCGUGCGGGCUGCGGCGCCGCUGUACGGACAGCCGCGGGCAGUCGGCUCCCCCCUGCUGCGCGGCCCCCCCUCGUCUUCGUGUGACCGCGGCAGCGCCGGCACCGCGCCGGCACCGGGGGCUGCGGGCAGCGGCGGGGGCUGCGGGCAGCGCGCGCACGGCUGGGCCCGGCGCCGGCGGCCUUCGGGCGGCCUCGGGGACGCGGCCGCGUUAAGGGAAACAGCUGCGCGCUGCCGGGCGCCUGGGAGGCGACGCCGUCCUUCGGUAGGAAGCGGCGCCGCUGCGGUUCCUCGUCUCGGGAAUUAUCCCGUCGCUUCAGCGUAGCGAGUAGAGAAGUGAUUCGGCGGCUGGACGUGUGGUGCGUAGAGGUUAGACGGACCCUGUGGCUGUGGGUGUGCCUGGCGUGGGUGAGAGGAAGAACGGUGUCCCCCUGCAGCGAAAAGCGUGCUAGAGCGAAAAGGUCUUAAAGCGACGAGCCUUAGUUUUCUGCCAGUUCUGAAUUAGUCCUGGCAUCUCAGAAAGGAUGUGAUAGAACGUGCAAGGAGAAGCUGCAAAAGUGAUGGAGGAUGUGGAGGAAACGCUUGCUGAGGAGAGCUGAGUGCUAAGGCAGCAGAACGUGUCCAGGGCAUCUCCAGAGGUGCUGAAUGAGGUGAGUGCAAACAGGGAUUCACUGAAGCUCACGUAUGGGGAGGAGGAGCACUCAGUGAAACUGGCAGGAGACUGGCUUAAGAGAAAAAGCAAGUUUUCAUUUAUUUCUUUAUUUAUUUUGAAGUAGCAGAAAGUGAACUUGGGAACGGGUUGCUGCAGGGUAUGGUUGGAGGCAGGCACUGUGUUCUGAAACAGCUUAGACAAAGUCUUGGAUAGCAGGUUGGUGAAAAGGGAUGCACCCUUAUCACCCCUGCGCAGCACUUGUGGCUGUGAGGAAAGGAGCAGGAGGGAACUCUAAAGGCUGGCCAACUUCCCUGCUCUUAGUAACGUUGCCUACUGGCAUGGCGUGCGACAGCGUACCAGGCUAGCCAGGCCAAGUAUGUAGCUUGUAGAGAGCCUAUCUUUUCUGAAAAAGUUUUUCUCUUCAAUAACGUGCUCACAUUUUGUGGGCUCAGGUAAGAUUUCAGUCAAGCAACAAUCUAGUAAGUCACCCCCCUUGAAUUUGGGGAGGAACAAGACUCAUUGCAUUUCUACCACUAACAUGUCACAGGAAAGCAAGUCCCUGC
RNAcentral lists this long non-coding RNA (1369 nucleotides) under Anser cygnoides (Swan goose). RNAcentral's name for it is "lncRNA (ENSACDG00005003092.1)". The record is from RNAcentral. Lineage: Eukaryota; Metazoa; Chordata; Aves; Anseriformes; Anatidae.